GAUGAACGCUGGCGGCGUGCCUAAUACAUGCAAGUCGAGCGAACAGACGAGGCGCUUGCUCCUUUGACGUUAGCCGCAGGCGGGUGAGUAACACGUGUAUCAUCUACCUAUAAGUCUGGGAUCUCUUGGGGAAACCGGCGCUAAUCCCGGAUAAUCUCUUGCACCGCAUGGUUCAAUAGUGAAAGACGGUUUUGCUGUCACUUCUAGAUGGAUCCGCGCCGCAUUGGCUAGUUGGUAGGGUAACGGCCUAUCACGGCGACCAGGCGUAGCCGACCGCCGGGGGUGGUCGCCCACAUGGGAGCUUGGACACGGUCCAUACUCCUACGGUAGGCAGCAGUAGGGAAUCUUCCGCAGUGGGCGAAAGCUUUACAGAGCAACGCCACGUGAGAGAUGAAGGUCUUCCGUUCGUAAUACUCUGUUAUGAGGGAAAAACAAAUUUGUAAGUAGCCAUGCACGUCGUGACGGUAACGGAUCAGAAAGCCACGGCUAACUACGUG
This 497-nucleotide ribosomal RNA is filed under the name uncultured bacterium. Its description in RNAcentral is "partial 16S ribosomal RNA". It matches the Rfam family "Bacterial small subunit ribosomal RNA", at positions 28 to 507 of the family's 1533-position model. The record is from RNAcentral.